AAAAAUGCUGAAGGGAAAUGGUUGAAUUGAUAGUACAAGAGGAUUUCAACACUAUUGACCGGAAGAGAAGCCAGUGAAAGUAGUGUAAUUCAGAUUUCUGUGCAGUGAAGUGCUUGUGGAGAAGAUAUUGUUAGUGAAGGAAAAUUUAAGACGUUCGAAUUGAAGAGUGACUAAAUCUUAGAAGAUAGACAAAGGAUGAUAUAGAUUAUAUAGUCUUAUGCAAAGAGGAGGCUUUGGAGUGAUUUAUAAUAGAAGAAAAGUAAGAAGUGAAGGUUUGGAAGAAGCAAACCAUCAAGAAGGUAAGUAAUGCAAAUUAAAGUUUUAAAUGUAAUUCUUUUUAAUUUUACAUUGUAUAUUGGUAUUUGAAUGAAUGCAAGAGAAAUAUGCAUUACAAGAAAUUCUCUGACUAAAGGAUGUUCCUAACUUAGUUUCCAUAUACUAUAGGUAUUGUUGUGGCAAAUCUUAAAAUAAAUUUGGCAUAUGAUACUUUGAUUUGUGGAUCCUCCUCCUCUACUAUUGG
Long non-coding RNA from Dendrobium catenatum, 520 nucleotides. RefSeq lists it as uncharacterized. The record is from RefSeq and is a predicted model, not a curated record. The transcript is spliced from 3 exons. Lineage: Eukaryota; Viridiplantae; Streptophyta; Magnoliopsida; Asparagales; Orchidaceae.